UGCUGUUUGAAUGUUGUUUAAGUGAUAGUCGUGGUAACGGUGCGCAUUUAAAGUUGGUUAGCUAACCUGUUAUUAUUGCUUGCCUACUAACGUAAUGAAAAAGGGGGACUGAUAACUGGGAUGAUCGUAUGUGGAUAAAACACAAGCCUCUGACCGAAGUUUCAGCAGUAACAUCUGUGCAAGCAAGUUUGGCUAAAUAUAAGUUAACCUUAGCUAACCGGAUGUCUGUGUAGACGUUAGCAGUGUUGGUCUUACCUUUAAAUGCUUCAUUAUAUUUGGAUAUCGACAGUAUUUUCCCCGCGGGGAGGCAUAAGGUGCACUGCACAGGUGGGUUCUCAGGCAAACAUACCACAUGAAUGAUAGGGCGAUCACACACAUUGGUCAGACCAGUUCUGUUCGCAGAUAAUUUCUCCUCAAUGGAGCGACGCCAGACCGAACUUCCCGACUUAAAUUUUUACAUUUACAUUGUCAUUUAGCAGACGCUUUUGUCCAAAGCGACGUACAAGGGAGAGAACAGUCAAGCUAAGAGCAAUAAAAAGCAUGGUGUAACAAUAAAUACUACUUUACAUGAGAAUUAGAAAACAACGAGAAUAUAGUAGUAAAAUGAAUGUUUCCAGAACAUGUUUAGUGUUAGUUAGUGUUUAGAAUGUUUAGUGCACUUUCAGCUUUGAAGACAAAAUAACGUCGAUAUGUCCACGAGAGGGCAGUAUUGCUCUAAAAGUAUUGUCUUUCUUUAUAAGAAUGUGGUUGUCUCUAUAACAUCAACCCUCUCCGGGUUUGCGUUGCAUUACAAGCACAGUAAAUAUACAAAUCCCAAAUUUGGGAUGCUAUAUUUUUGUCCGCCAGCCUUCAAGGCAUUUAGAUCAACAGAAUUUUGCGUGAAGUGUAUUGUGACAUAAUAGGAGGCAGGCCUGAAAUAGAACAGAAUUUUCUUUUCGACUUGUUUACAGAGGUAUACUACCAAAGACUAGGUACUAAAAGGUCUAUCGGUGUCUGGAAUUAUGCAAAGAUAGGAAUUAUAGAACGAGAAAUGUGGUUGCCCCACCGUAAUGCUGUCAUAAGACAUAAUUGUUUACAAUCUCCAAUAAAAGACGACAAUGAAAGAUAUGCAGCUAACCGUAAAACGCUGCCACCUGGCCCGCAAGAUGUGUAUUACCUGUGUCUGAAAAGCCCUUGUUUUGUGGAUUAUCGAAAGGUGAGAAGUAAAUGGGAAGCUGUUUAAACGAAUUGGUUUAGAUUGAAAUUACAUGUUUGACGUAUGGUCUUUGAAGCCUGAGCAUUAGGAUUAUAAUCUAUCCUUUAGUGUAAUUUGUGUGAUUUAGCUAAUGUAGUAAUGGUAUCUCUUCCAGCCAACACACCCUUUGAAACAUAUAACAUCCGACCUUUCUGACAGCUAUGAAGCAUCACAGGACACCAAAGGUGAAACCACAACAGAGAGUCAGGAAAAAGUAGUCUCUACUGAAGAGAAGUGGAAUGAUGAGGACGGAGAAGACCGUGCGGUGGACACACAAACCACAGAUGGAGAUAUCAAGACUGAUACACUGGCGUGGAUGUGGGAAAAUUUCAUUGUAGAUGACUACAGCCCUAAGCCAAAUUAUAAAACGUUAAUUCCGAAGGCAGUUGAGAGCAAACCGAGAGUGACAGUACCGGAGCCAUUUCAGAUGACCUUGAGAGAGGAGGAGAGGCGGCUGAAACCCAGGCAGGCCAGCAUGGUAGUGAGCGUUGAGCCUCAGAAACCUCCACAGUUUAAGGCUAACCCUAUCCCUUUGAAGUCUCGCCUCUGUGUCUACCAGAAAAGUCUCCAGGAGUGCGAGAAACAGCGCGAGAUUCGUCACGACAAACGAAAGAAAUUUCUCCUGGCCCUACAGCGUCCUUUCAGUGCUGGAGACGCAAAGCCAGCAGAAGAGAAAUUCAUUGAGCCAACCACGGAGAAGUCAACGUUCAGACCACUCAUAAACACCAAAGUGCCAGACUCUCCAAAGCUGCAUCACAUGUUUGAGGACCGACUCAAGAACAUCAGGCAGAAAAGGCAACCCACUGUACCUCAGCCAUUUAGUUUCCAAGUUAGUGACCAGGUGACCAGCACCACCAAGAGGCCAUUAAAGAGCAUUAAGUGGCAAGGUGACUCUAAGAAAUCGGUAUCUAUAAAGGCAAAGGCCGGACCACCGAGGCCUACCAAGUCAGCUCUGCUGAGAGAGGAGACCGUG
Molecule: long non-coding RNA, 2207 nt
Organism: Clupea harengus (Atlantic herring)
Lineage: Eukaryota; Metazoa; Chordata; Actinopteri; Clupeiformes; Clupeidae
Source: Ensembl